This 25-nucleotide non-coding RNA is filed under the name Rattus norvegicus (Norway rat). The record is from RNAcentral. Lineage: Eukaryota; Metazoa; Chordata; Mammalia; Rodentia; Muridae.
UGCUUCCUGGGUCCUGGAGGGUUCC